RNAcentral lists this non-coding RNA (30 nucleotides) under Mus musculus (house mouse). The record is from RNAcentral. Lineage: Eukaryota; Metazoa; Chordata; Mammalia; Rodentia; Muridae.
UAAAAUCCACCAAUUUAUGGCUCCAGCAAC